AUGCUUGUUCUUGGAUACAUUUCUCCUCGUCCUGCCAUUUUUGGCACUGUGAGUGGGCUCAUAAAGAUGAUGGGGUUUAUGAUGUUCAUGAAUACCCAAGUUUUCACGAGAGUGGUUUCUAUUUCUUUCUGCCAAAUUUUAUUUUUCUGUUCACUCACGCCCCCUCCCAUCACCACCCUUUGGCACGUCAAAUUCAACUUCACGAGCGGUGCACGGGAAAAGCGAUGUAUUUACGGCUGGUUCUUUAUUUCAAUUAAUAAUUAUGAUAGACUACAGAAAAAUCAUACAUUUGGGGAAAGGGGAAAAAGGAAAACAGGAGCAGGGAAAAGGAGGUUCUACUGCUGCAGUGGAAAACAACGCAUUUAUCUCAUGUAUUGUGGGCCACAAAUGCUUCUGAAACCAACCUGUCCAGUUUGCUGCUACAUUUGCUCCCCUGAGCAUGAAUCUGCUGCAUAGAAUUUACUCUUCUGCUUGGUCCUGUAAAGCCCAGCAACAGCGGCUCCUUCCAAAGCUAUUCUGAGCUUCUCACCACGACAUUUUACCUUUUCUUCACAUUAAAAUGUAAUCUACAUAGUCCUAAGACCUUCUUUAUUACCCAAGGUUGUUCUAUUUUCUUAUCAGAUACACUGGGUAUCACAAACAGCCCCAAAACACUGCCCCAAGGAUACAGAAUGACAAACAGCCACGGCCAUAUAUUCUGAUUUCGUACAGACAUACACCCGCUGGAACCUCCUGGAAUAACAAACAUGUUUCCCUUGACCACUCCAGUCACUUACACAAAGAAGAACUAGAGAAGGUUCCUGAAUAUUCUGCCCAUGCUUUCGGUGUAAGUUACUAAGUAAAUGACAUUGUUAGAGCGUUUAAUGCUACUGCUUCACUGCUCCUCUAGCACCUGUCCAGCCAAUGCCUGACAGAAGAAGAUAAAUACAUUUAUAAUACACAGCAAAGUGAAUAACAAAGAGUUUAUAUAGUUGUCUCUGACAAAACUGACAAGUCAUAGCUGGCAGCUUUAAUCAGCUCCCAGCUGAGCCUGGGAAAUUGGAGGCAACAGAGCACUGACCUUUCUGAUGAAUUUCUGAAGGGAAGGUUAAAGUUUUGUUUACUUUUUUAAUAGGAAGAGGUAUCAGGUUCAAAGACCUUUGGAUAAAAGCGAGAUUCCUGAGCAAGAGGACUGUACCCAACAUUUAACAAAGUAAUUAUAGGUUUAUCUAAAACUCAUUUUUCAAAUAAAAGGAUAUGGUGUAAAGUUACA
RNAcentral lists this long non-coding RNA (1252 nucleotides) under Anser brachyrhynchus (Pink-footed goose). RNAcentral's name for it is "lncRNA (ENSABRG00000008707.1)". Lineage: Eukaryota; Metazoa; Chordata; Aves; Anseriformes; Anatidae. The record is from RNAcentral.